GCACUGCUGAGCAGUCUCACAAUAAGACGAAACGGCCGUCCAGUUC
This is a non-coding RNA of Schistosoma mansoni, 46 nucleotides long. The record is from Rfam. NCBI's taxonomy places the organism in Eukaryota, Metazoa, Platyhelminthes, Trematoda, Strigeidida, Schistosomatidae.